Molecule: small RNA, 148 nt
Filed under: Macaca fascicularis (crab-eating macaque)
Lineage: Eukaryota; Metazoa; Chordata; Mammalia; Primates; Cercopithecidae
Description: Metazoan signal recognition particle RNA (ENSMFAG00000052703.1)
Source: Rfam by way of RNAcentral
GCUGGGUGUGGUGGUGCACACCUGUAAUCCCAGCUACUCAGGAGGCUGAGGCAGGAGAAUUGCUUGAACCUAGGAGGCAGAGGUUGCAGUGAGCCGAGAUUGCACCACUGCACUCCAGCCUGGGUGACAGAGUGAGACUCUGUCUCAA